Molecule: long non-coding RNA, 263 nt
Filed under: Lathyrus oleraceus (garden pea)
Lineage: Eukaryota; Viridiplantae; Streptophyta; Magnoliopsida; Fabales; Fabaceae
Description: Pisum sativum (pea) long non-coding RNA (PSAT_LNC038872)
Source: RNAcentral
ACAAGCGCUCUGCUCUGGGAAUAUAUCACAGAUUCCACUAGCGACUGUGCUAAGGAAAGAUAUCAACAACCCUACUUGCGACAAUGCUGGGGAGGCGAUAAAGUACCGGGAUAUCAAUCCACCAACCACUGAAUCUUCAAAAAGGAAAGCCACCAUGCUGAGGAGAGAAACAACAACUCUGCUAGCGACUGCACUGGGGAGAAACGGAGCACCUGGGUUCAAACCAACGAUUACUGAAUCUUCCAAAAGGAGAAACACCCAUG